This 474-nucleotide ribosomal RNA is filed under the name uncultured bacterium. Its description in RNAcentral is "bacterial SSU rRNA". It matches the Rfam family "Bacterial small subunit ribosomal RNA", at positions 24 to 518 of the family's 1533-position model. The record is from RNAcentral.
UCAGGACGAACGCUGGCGGCGUGCUUCAUACAUGCAAGUCGAACGAGAAGUCACCUUCGGGUGAUGGAAAGUGGCGGACGGGUGAGUAAUGUGUAGAGAAUCUGCCCUUUAGUGGGGGACAACAGUUGGAAACGACUGCUAAUACCCCAUAUGCGCGUAGCUGAGAUGCUAUUCGUGAAAACUCCGGUGCUAAAGGAUGAGUCUGCAUCUGAUUAGCUAGUUGGCGGUGUAAUGGACCACCAAGGCGACGAUCAGUAGCUGGUUUGAGAGGAUGAUCAGCCACAAUGGGACUGAGACACGGCCCAUACUCCUACGGGAGGCAGCAGUAGGGAAUUUUGCGCAAUGGGGGAAACCCUGACGCAAGCGACGCCGCGUGAUUGAAUAAGCCCUUCGGGGUGUAAAGAUCUGUCAGUAGGGACGAAACUUGACGGUACCUACAGAGGAAGCAUCGGCUAACUCCGUGCCAGCCGCAGC